Molecule: ribosomal RNA, 468 nt
Filed under: uncultured bacterium
Lineage: Bacteria
Description: partial 16S ribosomal RNA
Rfam family: Bacterial small subunit ribosomal RNA
Source: RNAcentral
GACGAACGCUGGCGGCGUGCUUAACACAUGCAAGUCGAACGGAAAGGCCCUGCUUUUGUGGGGUGCUCGAGUGGCGAACGGGUGAGUAACACGUGAGUAACCUGCCCUUGACUUUGGGAUAACUUCAGGAAACUGGGGCUAAUACCGGAUAGGAGCUCCUGCUGCAUGGUGGGGGUUGGAAAGUUUCGGCGGUUGGGGAUGGACUCGCGGCUUAUCAGCUUGUUGGUGGGGUAGUGGCUUACCAAGGCUUUGACGGGUAGCCGGCCUGAGAGGGUGACCGGCCACAUUGGGCCUGAGAGACGGCGCAGACUCCUACGGGAGGCAGCAGUGGGGAGUAUUGCACAGUGGGCGGAAGCCUGAUGCAGCAGCGCCGCGUGCGGGAUGACGGCCUUCGGGUUGUAAACCGCUUUCGCCUGUGACGAAGCGUGAGUGACGGUAAUGGGUAAAGAAGCACCGGCUAACUACGUG